RNAcentral lists this long non-coding RNA (509 nucleotides) under Panax ginseng (ginseng). Its description in RNAcentral is "long non-coding RNA (PGIN_LNC006322)". Lineage: Eukaryota; Viridiplantae; Streptophyta; Magnoliopsida; Apiales; Araliaceae. The record is from RNAcentral.
AUUGAGUGUGGAUAUUGUCUAGAUGAUAAUAUUCUUGUUUAAAUUCUCAGCUAUGUUUUGUCGUAUUUUGCACGACUGUUGUAUAAUUAAGUUGUAUUUGAAUUUAUGUAUCAUGUAGAUGGGUGAUGUAUACCUAUUUUGGGGGCGUCACGUGUAUGGUUGUAUGUAUGUAUGUAUGUAUGUGAGACCCCAAAUUUUAUGAAUAAAGAUUUAAAUUUCUCGAAAUAUUUUUUUGAAUAUUAUGGUGUGGAUUUGAUAUAAUGUUACAGUUGUGGGUAAUAUUUAUAAAUUUUGUAAAGUAAGCAAGUUGUUAUAUAAUAUUCGAUUAGUCGAGGAAUAUUCGUUUUAACAGGGAAUAUUCGUACAACGGCACAAUCAUUGGUGGAACCCACAACGGAAGUAUUGUCGUAGUUAAAAAACGACAAAAUUAUCUUUUUAUAAAAAUAACGGCGAAAGUGUUACCGUUAAAACUAUUGAGCUACUCGGUAGUAAAAGUACAGUAAUACGCG